RNAcentral lists this transfer RNA (85 nucleotides) under Felis catus (domestic cat). It matches the Rfam family "tRNA". From Rfam's summary of the family: Transfer RNA (tRNA) molecules are approximately 80 nucleotides in length. Their secondary structure includes four short double-helical elements and three loops (D, anti-codon, and T loops). Further hydrogen bonds mediate the characteristic L-shaped molecular structure. tRNAs have two regions of fundamental functional importance: the anti-codon, which is responsible for specific mRNA codon recognition, and the 3' end, to which the tRNAs corresponding amino acid is attached (by aminoacyl-tRNA synthetases). tRNAs cope with the degeneracy of the genetic code in two manners: having more than one tRNA (with a specific anti-codon) for a particular amino acid; and 'wobble' base-pairing, i.e. permitting non-standard base-pairing at the 3rd anti-codon position. The record is from Rfam by way of RNAcentral. Lineage: Eukaryota; Metazoa; Chordata; Mammalia; Carnivora; Felidae.
GCCUGGGUGGCUCAGUUGGUUGAGCGUCUGACUUCAGCUCAGGUCAUGAUCUGGCAGUUUGUGAGUUCGAGCCCCGCAUUGGGCU